GAACAAUUGAGAUUAGGAAGUGAGACAGGAUUGAUGGAGUUAAGGAAAUUUAGACUGAGUGACCUGAAAUUCACAUGUUAAGUGGUGAUGAUGAGGGAGGGAGGGAGGAAAGGAGGGAAAGAUAGAAGGGAGGGAGGGAGGGAAGGGAGGACAGAAGAAAGGAAGGAAGGAAGGGAGGGGAGAAAAGAAGGAAGGAAACCAGAAUUGAGGACAGCUGGGAAAGGAGGGAGAAACAUAACAACUGUCAGGAAAAGAAAUGUGGUCUCGCCUGCUGGUGAGAUGAGUGAGGUUUCAGCCCUGUGAGCCGGUUCAGCAUGGAGCAGCUGCAAGGGCUGUGGGUUCUCUGAAGAGACAGAAGCAGCUGGACAUCGAGAGGAGCAUAUCGGAGGAGGAACACACAGGUGGCUGGAUGUCGGGAGGAACGCACCGGCAUGCCAGCAGGCCCCUGGCCAGCAGGCCCCUGACCAGCAGAAUGACGCAGAGUUUGGCUGGGGCAGUCAGAGGAGAGCCCAGGCUGCCAAGCCGCCUGACUCCAGGGGAAAACCAUCACCCUUCUAGCUCCCCUAUCUGCUGAAA
RNAcentral lists this long non-coding RNA (576 nucleotides) under Homo sapiens (human). RNAcentral's name for it is "HSALNT0304399". The record is from RNAcentral. Lineage: Eukaryota; Metazoa; Chordata; Mammalia; Primates; Hominidae.